AUUUUCUCUAAGUCUCCCAAGUACGUUGCGACCAAAAGGAACAAAAGGUAACCAUUUGGCGGGGGUGAAUCGAAGAGUAUGACUGUUUUCAAUUUGUGUUUCAAGUCUGCGUCUUAGCUGAGAAAAGAAAAUAUCAUUACGAACUGGUUGAUUUAUAGAUUAUUUAGAAAAAGUAGAAGAAG
Molecule: non-coding RNA, 182 nt
Organism: Caenorhabditis elegans
Lineage: Eukaryota; Metazoa; Nematoda; Chromadorea; Rhabditida; Rhabditidae
Source: Ensembl